AUGUUAUUUUAUUUUGGUUAAUAUUUUUAUUAUUAUUUUAUUUUACAUGUAAAUUUUUGUGUGAAUUAAUUUAAUUUUUAAAAAAUUAAAUUUGUUGAUUUUAUUCGCAGUAAUUAAUAUUAAUAGAAAAAAGAAAUUUUGUGUUAGUAAUAAUAUAUAGUAUUGGUAAAAUUUGUGCCAGCUACCGCGGUUAUACAAAUAAUGCAAGUGAAAAUUUUUAGUAUUAGUUAAAUUAAAUAGAUUGUAAUAAUAUAAACAUAAAUUUAUUAGGUGAAAUUUUUAAAUUUAUAAAUUUAUUAUUAUAAAAAAAUAAUUUAAGCUAUAAACUUUUUAUAAUAAACUAGGAUUAGAUACCCUAUUAUUGAAAAUAAAUAUAUAAAUACUAAAGUAGUAUUAGUUAUAUUCUUAAAAUUUAAAAAAUUUGGCGGUGUUUUAGUCUAUUUAGAGGAAUCUGUCCUGUAAUUGAUAAUCCACAUUGAACCUUACUUAAAUUUGUUUAAUUUGUAUAUCGCCGUCAUCAGAAUAUGUUAUAAGAUAAAAAUUUUCUUAAUAUUUAAUUAAAUAAAAUGUCAGGUCAAGGUGCAGUUUAUGUUUAAGUAGAGAUGGAUUACAAUAAAUUUAUUUAUAUGGAAAAUUUUUUGAAAUAGAGAUUUGAAGGUGGAUUUAAUAGUAAUAUAAAAUAGAUUAUUUAUAUGAUUUUAGCUCUAAAACAUGUACAUAUCGCCCAUCGUUCUUAUUUUUAAAAUAAGAUAAGUUGUAACAUAGUAGAUGUACUGGAAAGUGUAUCUAGAAAGAC
Molecule: non-coding RNA, 796 nt
Filed under: Ochlerotatus fulvus
Lineage: Eukaryota; Metazoa; Arthropoda; Insecta; Diptera; Culicidae
Source: RNAcentral